AAUCAACGCUGGCGGCGUGCCUCAGACAUGCAAGUCGAACGCUGCUGUUCGCCUUCGGGUGGACAGCGGAGUGGCGCACGGGUGAGUAACACGUAGGUAAUCUACCUUUGGGUGGGGAAUAACAGCCGGAAACGGCUGCUAAUACCGCAUAAUGCAGCGGCAUCACAUGAUGACAGUUGUUAAAGCGAGGGAUCGUAAGACCUCGCGCCUGAAGAGGAGCCUGCGGCAGAUUAGGUAGUUGGUGAGGUAGUGGCUCACCAAGCCUGCGAUCUGUAACCGGCCUGAGAGGGCGGUCGGUCACACUGACACUGACAUACGGGUCAGACUCCUACGGGAGGCAGCAGUCGGG
Molecule: ribosomal RNA, 349 nt
Filed under: uncultured bacterium
Lineage: Bacteria
Description: bacterial SSU rRNA
Rfam family: Bacterial small subunit ribosomal RNA
Source: RNAcentral